This 1007-nucleotide ribosomal RNA is filed under the name Lacticaseibacillus paracasei. RNAcentral describes it as "bacterial SSU rRNA". It matches the Rfam family "Bacterial small subunit ribosomal RNA", at positions 462 to 1471 of the family's 1533-position model. The record is from RNAcentral. Lineage: Bacteria; Bacillati; Bacillota; Bacilli; Lactobacillales; Lactobacillaceae.
GUCGGCGUGGACGGUAUCCAACCAGAAAGCCACGGCUAACUACGUGCCAGCAGCCGCGGUAAUACGUAGGUGGCAAGCGUUAUCCGGAUUUAUUGGGCGUAAAGCGAGCGCAGGCGGUUUUUUAAGUCUGAUGUGAAAGCCCUCGGCUUAACCGAGGAAGCGCAUCGGAAACUGGGAAACUUGAGUGCAGAAGAGGACAGUGGAACUCCAUGUGUAGCGGUGAAAUGCGUAGAUAUAUGGAAGAACACCAGUGGCGAAGGCGGCUGUCUGGUCUGUAACUGACGCUGAGGCUCGAAAGCAUGGGUAGCGAACAGGAUUAGAUACCCUGGUAGUCCAUGCCGUAAACGAUGAAUGCUAGGUGUUGGAGGGUUUCCGCCCUUCAGUGCCGCAGCUAACGCAUUAAGCAUUCCGCCUGGGGAGUACGACCGCAAGGUUGAAACUCAAAGGAAUUGACGGGGGCCCGCACAAGCGGUGGAGCAUGUGGUUUAAUUCGAAGCAACGCGAAGAACCUUACCAGGUCUUGACAUCUUUUGAUCACCUGAGAGAUCAGGUUUCCCCUUCGGGGACAAAAUGACAGGUGGUGCAUGGUUGUCGUCAGCUCGUGUCGUGAGAUGUUGGGUUAAGUCCCGCAACGAGCGCAACCCUUAUGACUAGUUGCCAGCAUUUAGUUGGGCACUCUAGUAAGACUGCCGGUGACAAACCGGAGGAAGGUGGGGAUGACGUCAAAUCAUCAUGCCCCUUAUGACCUGGGCUACACACGUGCUACAAUGGAUGGUACAACGAGUUGCGAGACCGCGAGGUCAAGCUAAUCUCUUAAAGCCAUUCUCAGUUCGGACUGUAGGCUGCAACUCGCCUACACGAAGUCGGAAUCGCUAGUAAUCGCGGAUCAGCACGCCGCGGUGAAUACGUUCCCGGGCCUUGUACACACCGCCCGUCACACCAUGAGAGUUUGUAACACCCGAAGCCGGUGGCGUACCCUUUAGGGAGCGAGCCGUCUAAGGUACCAA